RNAcentral lists this ribosomal RNA (152 nucleotides) under uncultured Geobacter sp. RNAcentral describes it as "partial 16S ribosomal RNA". It matches the Rfam family "Bacterial small subunit ribosomal RNA", at positions 355 to 499 of the family's 1533-position model. The record is from RNAcentral. Lineage: Bacteria; Pseudomonadati; Thermodesulfobacteriota; Desulfuromonadia; Geobacterales; Geobacteraceae.
UGGGGAAUUUUGCGCAAUGGGCGAAAGUCUGACAGAGCCACGCCGCGUGUAUGAUGAAGGCCUUUGGAUUGUAAAGCUCUUUCUUUGGGGAAGAAAGGGUGGUUUGUUAAUACUGCUUUUAUUUGUUUUUACAAUAGAAGGAGGCGCGGUAA